This 698-nucleotide long non-coding RNA is filed under the name Octopus sinensis (East Asian common octopus). Its description in RNAcentral is "uncharacterized LOC115216531, transcript variant X2". The record is from RNAcentral. Lineage: Eukaryota; Metazoa; Mollusca; Cephalopoda; Octopoda; Octopodidae.
CUCCUGUUCUUUAACCCCUCCCCUUCCUUCUUCCCCUCCUCUAUAUUUCCGUUUGUGGUACCUGGGUAGCAGUGAAAAGAGAGUGUUUGAAUCUCCGAGGGCCUACAUUCAUCAAAAGUACUAAAACAGAUGGAAGCUGGCACCAAUGACUCUUUAAAGUCUUCCCUGACUGAUGAGAGAGAAGGAAGAAGUUAUUGCCAAACUGUUGAUUUAAUAAAAAUAUCUCCAACAGAGCAGACUUAUCUAAAGCUACCUAACGUGGUGAUGAUUAACCAAAUAAUAGAUUAGGUCUACCAUCCAGUGGUCAUGGAAGGAUUUGAACUCACAACACAGAGAGUUGGAAGAAAUACGAUGUUGGUAAUGUGUCCCCAAGGAUAUGAAGCAUGAUGACAGUAGAAGAAAUGACGCCAGAGGCAACCAUCAGAUGGGAGGAUGAUAAUGAACACAGGUGAAAAAUCUGAAGGAAAAAAAAAUAAUUCUGAAGCUGGUGAGAUGGUUUUUAGAUACAACUGAUGUCUGGAUAAAGAACUUUCUAAGAACGACAAGAGAAUAAUUGGCUGGUUGUUUGUCUUGACAGACAUCAACUCCAGAAGAACUACAAAUAAAUCUGAGUUAAUUGUAAUUGUUGAAAAUUCAUUACAAUUGCAUAAUGGAAGAAAAAAAUAAGUCCAGAUUAAUAAAACUCGAAAUAACUUUCA